This 773-nucleotide ribosomal RNA is filed under the name uncultured Neocallimastigales. RNAcentral describes it as "partial large subunit ribosomal RNA". It matches the Rfam family "Eukaryotic large subunit ribosomal RNA", at positions 22 to 621 of the family's 3401-position model. Lineage: Eukaryota; Fungi; Neocallimastigomycota; Neocallimastigomycetes; Neocallimastigales. The record is from RNAcentral.
UAUCAGUCAUGCAUAGCAUAUCAAUAAGCGGAGGAAAAGAAACUAACAAGGAUUCCCUUAGUAACGGCGAGUGAAGCGGGAAGAGCUCAAAUUUGAAAUCUUCAAGGUUUUACCUUGACGAAUUGUAGUUUAAAGAAGUGUUUUCUGUUGAAGUUUUGGUAAAAGUUCUUUGGAAUAGGACAUCAUAGAGGGUGAGAAUCCCGUAUUUGACCAUUACUUUCAGCUUUGUGAUACACUUUCAAAGAGUCGGAUUGUUUGGGAAUGCAGUCCAAAAUGGGUGGUAAAUUUCAUCUAAAGCUAAAUAUUGGCGAGAGACCGAUAGCGAACAAGUACCGUGAGGGAAAGAUGAAAAGAACUUUGAAAAGAGAGUUAAACAGUACGUGAAAUUGUCAAAAGGGAAGCGUUUGACACCAGUGUUGUUUUCUCGAAAAUCAAUUAAAAAGAGUUGGAUUUUGUGUUGUAUUGACUUUAUCAGCUUUCUUCACUCUUUUCCAGCUUUUUUUAAUGCACUUUUCGUUUAACAAGUCAACAUCAGUUUCUUUUGUUAUAAAAAGGUCAUUGGAAGGUGGCUUUCUCUUCGGAGAAAGUGUUUAUAGCCUUUGACUCAUGCAAUCGGAGAGACUGAGGUCUGCAGCGUAGAUCCUUCGGGGUUAGAUACAUUUGUGCUAAGUUAUAGCUUUUCAUAGACAACUUGUUGACUAUGUUUAGUCUUGUAGCUUACUCGCUUAUGCUAUUUUACCUACGCUUAGGAUGUUGAACUCUAUCACACACAG